Homo sapiens (human) is the source of this 1124-nucleotide long non-coding RNA. Ensembl annotates it as long intergenic non-protein coding RNA 2128. NCBI's taxonomy places the organism in Eukaryota, Metazoa, Chordata, Mammalia, Primates, Hominidae. The record is from Ensembl.
UGGAGGCUGCCGCGCGGAGAGGUCCGCCCAGCCAGGAUGUGCGUUGUCCUGAGAAUCGAAUUACCCGGAACCCCAGAGCUCACCCUCUCUGAAGGAGAGCAGGUGCCUCCUGAGAGCAGGGCUUCUCUACCUUGGGGCACUAUGAACAUUCUGAGUGGGGCGCCCUGAACGAGUGCCCAGAUGCUUGUGAGGCCCAGAUCUUGGGGUGUGCAGCCAGGAAGGGCUCUGCUAGCUUUCCCACCUCCCUCCUGACCUCUUCUGCCCCUCACUGGACCCAGCCCGUUGGCUUCAGGAUGGGCCCCACGGGACAUGCUUUCAUGGAACCUGAGGAAAGAAUGCACUUACAACAGCGCCGGGAGCACAGAGGCUUCCCACUACCCUUUCCGAGAAGCACGUCUAUUUUCUCUAAUUUAUUCAGUGCCGCUGUGCGUGUGUGGCCUCUCAGUGCCCACUUUGUUCAUCUCUGCUCACUGGGGGAGCCAGGACACGGAUCCAGGUUUUCUGACUCCAGGUCUCAGGCUUGCUCCAUAGCGCCACCUGCUGGUGACGGCAAUCGGUAGGCACCCAAAUCAAGACUCAGAUUUCCUCAUCUCAGAAGUUGUCCACUUCUUCUCCGACCUCCACGGUAACUCGGAACCACACCGUGGAGUUAUCCCUGUGUCCUCUUUCUCGGAAGUUCCACAUCCAACCCCUCAGCAGGUCUCAGCGGCACUCUCACCACCUCCUCUGCUCUGUUCCUGUUUCUCUUGGAUGGUCGAAUGUUUCCUAAGGAGUGUCUGCUGCUUCACGCUUGCCCCCUGGAGUGGCAUCUAAAAGGUGCAGGUCAGAUGAAUCUUUCUUCUGCCAGGGCUCCCGGCUUAGCCAAGGAAAAGCACAAGUCCCUGACCAUAUCCUGCAAAAUUCCACAUCUGGGAACUCAGGCAUAUCAGGCCUGGUCUCUUUUUCUUCUUCCUUUUAAAAUAACGAAUACAUUGACAUGCCCCUUAUUACACCAUGCUGAAAUGAAAUUCAUAGGCAAUAUCACCUAUCUAUAGACACAAUUUACAUAAAUCCAUGUAAGCCACAUAAUGCCCUAAUUGUAUUCUAGAGGAGAAUUAAAAGGAAACGAAUUUAUAAUAAAAUAA